GGGGUUGUGGUUCAGUGGUAGAGCGCUUACCUAGCAUGUGUGAGGUACUGGGUUCGAUUCUCAGCACCA
Molecule: transfer RNA, 69 nt
Filed under: Ictidomys tridecemlineatus (thirteen-lined ground squirrel)
Lineage: Eukaryota; Metazoa; Chordata; Mammalia; Rodentia; Sciuridae
Description: Spermophilus tridecemlineatus (thirteen-lined ground squirrel) tRNA
Rfam family: tRNA
About the family: Transfer RNA (tRNA) molecules are approximately 80 nucleotides in length. Their secondary structure includes four short double-helical elements and three loops (D, anti-codon, and T loops).
Source: Rfam by way of RNAcentral